This 2417-nucleotide long non-coding RNA is filed under the name Sus scrofa (pig). RNAcentral's name for it is "lncRNA (ENSSSCG00060004903.1)". Lineage: Eukaryota; Metazoa; Chordata; Mammalia; Artiodactyla; Suidae. The record is from RNAcentral.
UUUUGUUGAAGUACAGGUGAUUUACAGUGCGGGGGUCUACACCGUACGACACAGGGACCCGGGGAUCCCUGUGCAGGUGAUUUACAGUGUGGGGGUCUACACCGUACGACACAGGGACCCGGGGAUCCCUGUGCAGGUGAUUUACAGUGUGGGGGUCUACACCGUACGACACAGGGACCCGGGGAUCCCUGUGCAGGUGAUUUACAGUGUGGGGGUCUACACCGUACGACACAGGGACCCGGGGAUCCCUGUGCAGGUGAUUUACAGUGUGGGGGUCUACACCGUACGACACAGGGACCCGGGGAUCCCUGCGCAGGUGAUUUACAGUGCGGGGGUCUACACCGUAGGACACAGGGACCCGGGGAUCCCUGUGCAGAUUUUUUUUCCCCUUUUACAACGGCACCUGUGGCGUGUGGACGUUCCCACGUUAGGGGUGGCAUCAGAGCUGCAGCUGCCGGCCUACACCACCGCCAGGGCAAUACCAGAUCUGAGCUGCAUCUGUGACAGAGCUUGUGGUGAUGCUGGAUCCUUAACCCACUGAGCAAGGCCAGGGACUGAAUCUGAAUCCUCAAGAAGACUACACUGGGUUCUUAACCUGCUGAGCCACAACGGGAACUCCCCUUUCAGAGUCUUUUCCCACACAGAUUAUCAGAGAAUAUUGGGUGAGGUCUCAUUCUACGCCUCCCCCCCUCCGUGUAAAGCAGCAGCAUUGGGCCCUGAGCCCCAGGAGCCACGGGAGGAAAAUGAAACCUCAUCGUGGGAUGUGACGCCCACCACGUGGGCGACAGUGUCCCUUCCAGGGUGAAGAACCACGGGAGCAAUGAGCAAGGCUGGAGGCCAGGCCAGGUGUCCUCACGCUGGGUAAAUACGCUGGGUGACAACUGUUUGUCACAGCGAAAGAGGAAAACAUUAGGGAACCUUUCAGUGGACACCAGGAGAGACAAAUAAUUUCAACAACAGUGUGACAAUAAUUCAACGAUAAAAUAGUUUCAACACUAAAAACCUACGUUCACCCAAUGAUGGCAGAGUGAGGCUCAGAGACAUUGCCCCUCAUUUCCGUAACCAGAGGCAAAGCUCUGGGGCCGACGGAAGGCCCUGAGUCCCCGGCAAAGGACCCGAAGGACAGGACCCACCCAGAGCCACGUCCUUUCUGAGAGAGGCGUGCAGAAGGGAGUCGGAGGGAGAAGCGGGGAGCAAAUCUUGAUGUCCGAGCAGAUUUCGUCCCUAAAGGGCGUGGGGACAUGCAGGUUUUGAGGCAAGAAGUCACACAAUACAUAUGAGACAUCGUGUGACAGAGCACGGGGCUGGGAGGCAGUUUGGCCAAAGGGGAGCCGGAGUAAGGGCUGUUCUCAGCCAGGGCUGCUUUCUGACUUGAGUCUAAUUUGUGGCAGGCGGGGAGCAGCAAAGAAGGUUGCCCCGGAUCCACUGCAGGUGUCAGGCGGAGGGUCUGCCCUGCCAAGAGCCCACGGAGAUGCUCGCUAAUCCUCCAACAGCCAUGGUACACGGGUGACGGAGGCCAGGCCGCAUCCCAGCGCCCCCCAGGCAGCGUGAGCCCCGCUCUGCCAGCUCCAGCCAGGAGGACAGCAGGGGCAGGUCCACAUCCCUGGGGCAGAGACGACUGAGAAAUGAGGGGCUGAAGCCUUUCAGACAAACAGGCCAAACUGCUUCACAAAAGCAUCGACCGUCCGAGGACGCACCUCGAAACCCAGGCAGGCUCGUCAGGGGCUCUGGGAGCGGAAGAGGCUAGAACAGCAAAGAAACACAGAAACACAGCAGAGUGGGGGCUGCCCGGCUUCCCCACGUGUUUGGGGGGCAGCUCUGGCUUUUGCAGGCUGGUCAAUCAUGACCGCCUGCGCCUCAGGGGGUUUGCUGGGCAGGUAAAUUCUGUCAACCCAAGGCCCUGACCCUCCCUGUCCCCGAUACCAGAGCGCAAAGUCGCGGCUGGAACUCGCCCUUGGGGGCUGGAGUGGACAGACGCAAGCCAACCGCAGACACCCUUGGCCGUGGACCCGCAGCGCGUUCUUGGAGCAGAGGCUGCGUCCGAGUCGGAGCCGGUGAGGAGCUCAGCUGACUUCACUCUGCUCCGGGUCUGCCCGUGUGGGGACAGGUGCCAGCAAGGGCUGCCCGGGCGGUCGGACAAAGACGAGCGCGCUGGGAACACGCCUCGCGGCCCCAGUGCCACGUCGCCGGCAUUGAACUGAUCACUCAAUCCCCCGGCACAAAGAUGUCCAAGCCCCCUGACAAGCAUCCAGCACCCACGUCCUUCCAGGAUGAUGCUUCUCUAGGAAAGGCCCUCCCAUCUAGAGACCCAGCUGCCCUCAGUCCUCACCCCACUGAGGCGUGACGCUACAGCCACCUCACCACCAAAGGCCUGUCAUGGCACCUCCACGGGGACCACGGAGUCACCGGCUGAGUCU